This 732-nucleotide non-coding RNA is filed under the name Youtuus strigatus. Lineage: Eukaryota; Metazoa; Arthropoda; Insecta; Hemiptera; Caliscelidae. The record is from RNAcentral.
AAAGAAUUUGAUUCUUGUUUAUUAAAUUAAUUUUUAAAUUUUUUUGCAUGUAACUUUAUUGAAGAUUUAUAUUUCUAAAAGAUUAUUUUUAUAUUUUCAGUGUUUAGUUUUAAUUUAAAUUAAUAUUUUAUUUUGAUAAAUUUAAUUUUAAGUCAGAAAAAUGUUAUGCCAGCAUUCGCGGUUAUAUCUCAUGAUUAAGUUAAUUUUUUUUAGUUUUCAGAAUUUUUUUUUUUUUUUUUUAAUUUAGGUGAAAUUUAUUAUAAAUAUAUAUAUUUAUAUUCUGUUUAAUCUAUAUUUUAAACCAGGAUUAGAUACCCUGUUAUUUUAGUCGAGUAGUAAAAUUCUAGUGAGUAAUUUUUUAUUGAAAUUUAUUGAAUCUGGCGGUUUUUAAAUCUUUUUAGAGGAACCUGCAUUUUAAAUGAUAAUCCACGAUAAAUUUUACCUUUAUUUUUUUGUAUAUCUCUGUCGUUGAAUGUAAUGAUAAUUUAUUUUCUUAAUAUUUUUUUUUAUUUAUGUUAGGUCAAGGUGCAAUUAUAUAUAGGUUAUUGUGGGUUACAUUAAUUAUUUUUUUUUUGAUUAUUUUUUUUAUUAAAAUAUGAAAUUGGAUUUAAAAGUAAAAAAUUUUAUUUAAAUUUUUGAAUCUAGCUCUUAUUAAUGUACAUAUCGCCCGUCAUUCCCAUAAAUUGGGACAAGUCGUAACAAAGUAGAUGUACUGGAAAGUGUAUCUAGAAA